UGGUCUUGACAUCCCGGGAAUCUCCUGGAAACAGGAGAGUGCUUUCAUUAGGAAGAACCCGGUGAC
RNAcentral lists this ribosomal RNA (66 nucleotides) under uncultured bacterium. RNAcentral describes it as "partial 16S ribosomal RNA". The record is from RNAcentral.